CGGGGUCCCCAGGGCCUCAUCUCCGACCGGCGGAACGGGGCCGGAGCGCUGAGGCUCGGUCCUGCCCUGCCUUGCCCUUACCCGGCGGGCUCCUCGUCUUCCCCCCCCACACCUGGAAAAGCGUCGUGGUGUGCUCCCUGCCUUAGAGCCCCAAAACGUGGGGGAGCGGUGCAGAGUGCAAGUGCAGCGCGAGUAGAGGGAAAACAAAGAGGCUGCCUGAGGAACGGGCUGUGCAUGGGGUGCUUGGAAACGGGAAGGGGUAGAUUGGCUGCUCAGGUAUCGUGGUGCUCAGGCUGCUCUUUGAGACACCUGCAGCAAGGCUGUUUCUUCAGGGGAUGUUAAGUCUGAGUAGCAGCCCAAAGAGUUCUCAUGUCCAACUUGAGCUGGUUAUCUUCCUCUUAAAACUGGGUAUUUAUGGACAUGGAUGAGAUCCCCCUGAGCCUCCUCUUUCCCAGGCUGAGCAGUCCCAGAUCUCUCAGCCCCUCCUCACAGGAGGGGUGCUCCUUCAUCACUUAGUAGCCCUUCCCUGGACUCUCUCCA
Long non-coding RNA from Gallus gallus (chicken), 540 nucleotides. NCBI's taxonomy places the organism in Eukaryota, Metazoa, Chordata, Aves, Galliformes, Phasianidae. The record is from Ensembl.